GUCAUUUGAUGGGUUUUGAGUGAAAUCCAAUCUCUAGAACUAUACAAUACACCAACCACCCCAUUUCAGAACGAACUUCGUACGAACCUGAAUUGUCCGAUUUCAAGGACCAAUCGAUAUCGGAUUGAGUCCAAAACUUGGGGAACAUCAUAAUAUUGUGGGAGGAGUCUUUUGGUGGGUUUUGAGUGAAAUCCAAUCUCCAGAACUAUACAAUACACCAACCACCCCAUUUCAGAACGAACUUCGUAGGAACCUGAAUUGUCCGAUUUCAAGGACCAAUCGAUAUCGGAUUGAGUCCAAAACUUGGGGAACAUCAUAAUAUUCUGGGAGGAGCAUUUGUGGGUUUUGAGUGAAAUCCAUCUCUAGAACAUACAAUACACCAACCACCCCAUUUCAUAACGAACUUCGUACAAACCUGGAUUGUCCGAUUUCAAGGACAAUCGAUAUCGGAUUGAGUCCAAAACUUGGGGAACAUCAUAAUAUUGUGGGAGGAGUCAUGUGGUUUGUUUUUAGUGAAAUCCAAUCUCUAGAACUAUACAAUACAACAACCACCCCAUUUUAGAACGAACUUCGUAGGAACCUGAAUUGUCCGAUUUCAAGGACUAAUCGAUAUCGGAUUGAGUCCAAAACUUGGGGAACAUCAUAAUAUUGUCGGAGGAGUCAUUUGGUGGGUUUUGAGUGAAAUCCAAUCUCCAGAACUAUACAAUACAGCAACCACCCCAUUUAUGAACGAACUUUGUACGAACCUGAAUUGUCCGAUUUCAAGGACCAAUCGAUAUCGGAUUGAGUCCAAAACUCAGGGAACAUCAUAAUAUUGUGGGAGUUGUCAUUUGGUGCCUUUUGGGUAAAAUCCAAUCUCCAGAACUAUACAAUACACCAACCAACCCAUUUCCAGAACGAACUUCGUACGAACCUGAAUUGUCCGAUUUCAAGGACCAAUCGAUAUCGGAUUGAGUCCAAAACUCGGGGAACAUCAGAAUAUUGUGGGAGUUGUCAUUUGGUGCCUUUUCGGUAAAAUCCAAUCCCUACAGCUAUACAAUGCACCAACCACUCCAUUUCAGAACGACCUUCAGACGAACUUGAAUUGUCCGAUUUCGUUGACCAAUCGAUAUCGGAUUGAGUCAAAAACCUGGGGAACAUCAUAAUAUUGUGGGAGGAGUCAUUUGGUGGGUUUUCAGUGAAAUCCAAUCUCUAGAACUAUACAAUACACCAACCACCCCAUUUCAGAACGAACAUCGUGCGAACAUGAAUUGUCCGAUUUCAAGGACCAAUCGAUAUCGGAUUGAGUCCAAAACUUGGGGAACAUCAUCAUAUUGUGGGAGGAGUCAUUUGGGGGGUUUUGAGUGAAAUCCAAUCCCUAGAACUAUACAAUACACCAACCACCCCAUUUCAGAACGAACUUCGUACGAAACUAAAUUGUCCGAUUCGAAGGACCAAUCGAUAUCGGAUUGAGUCCAAAACUUGGGGAACAUCAUAAUAUUGUGGGAGGAGUCAUUUGGUGGGUUUUUAGUGAAAUCCAAUCUCUACAACUAUACAAUACACCAACCACCCCAUUUCAGAACGAACUUCGUACGAACCGGAAUUGUCGGAUUUCAAGGACCAAACGAUAUCGGAUUGAGUCCAAAACUUGGGGAACAUCAUAAUAUCGUGGGAGGAGUCAUUUGGUGGGUUUUGAGUGAAAUCCAAUCUCUAGAACUAUACAAUACACCAACUACCCCAUUUCAGAACAAACUUCGUACGAACAUGAAUUGUCCGAUUUCAAGGACCAAUCGAUAUCGGAUUGAGUCCAAAACUUGGGGAACAUCGUAAUAUUGUGGGAGGAGUCAUUUGGUGGAUUUUGAGUGAAAUCCAAUCUCUAAAGCUAUACAAUACACCAACCACUCCAUUUCAGAUCGAAAUUCGUACGAACUUGAAUUCUCUGAUUUCACAAUCCAAUCGAUAUCGAAUUGAGUCCAAAACUUGGGGAACCUCAUGAUAUUGUGGGAGUCAUUUGGUGGCUUUUGGGUGAAAUCCAAUCCCUACAACUAUACAAUACACCAACCAUUCCAUUUCAGAACGACCUUCAUACGACGUUGAAUUGUCCGAUUUCAUUGACCAAUCGAUAUCGGAUUGAGUCCAAAACCUCGGGAACAUCAUAAUAUUGUGGGAGUUGUCAUUUGGUGCCUUUUGGGUAAAAUCCAAUCUCCAGAACUAUACAAUACACCAACCAACCCAUUUCCAGAACGAACUUCGUACGAACCUGAAUUGUCCGAUUUCAAGGACCAAUCGAUAUCGGAUUGAGUCCAAAACUCGUGGAACAUCAUAAUAUUGUGGGAGUUUUCAUUUGGUGGCUUUUGGGUAAAAUCUAAUCCCUACAGCUAUACAAUGCACCAACCACUCCAUUGCAGAACGACCUUCAUACGAACUUGAAUUGUCCGAUUUGAUGGACCAAUCGAGAUCUGAUUGAGUACAAAACCUGGGGAACAUCAUAAUAUUGUGGGAGGAGUCAUUUGGUGGGUUUUGAGUGAAAUCCAAUCUCUAGAACUAUUCAAUACACCAACCACUAUAUUUCCGAACGAACUUCGUACGAACCUGAAUUGUCCGAUUUCAAGGACCAAUCGAUAUCGGAUUGAGUCCAAAACUUAGGGAACAUCAUAAUAUUGUGGGAGGAGUCAUUUGGUGGAUUUUGAGUGAAAUCCAAUCCCUACAACUAUACAAUACACCAACCACUCCAUUUUAGAACGAACUUCGUACGAACCUGAAUUGCCAAAUUUCGUGGACCGAUCGAUAUCAGAUUGAGUCCAAAACUUGGGGAACAUCAUAAUAUUGUGGGAAGAGUCAUUUGGUGGGAUUUGAGUGAAAUAUAAUCCCUAGAACUAUGCAAUACACCAACCACCCCAUUUAUGAACGAACUUCGUACGAACCUGAAUUGUCCGAUUUGAAGGACCAAUCGAUAUCGGAUUGAGUCCAAAACUCAGGGAACAUCAUAAUAUUGUGGGAGUUGUCAUUUCGUGGCUUUUAGGUAAAAUCCAAUCUCCAGAACUAUACAAUACACUGACCACCCCAUUUAUGAACGAUCUUCGUACGAACCUGAAUUGUCCGAUUUCAAGGACCAAUCGAUAUCGGAUUGAGUCCAAAACUCGGGGAACAUGAUAAUAUUGUGGGAGUUGUCAUUUGGUGGCUUUUGGGUAAAAUCCAAUUUCCAGAACUAUACAAUACACCAACCAACCCAUUUCCAGAACGAACUUCGUACGAACCUGAAUUGUCCGCUUUCAAGGACCAAUCGAUAUUGGAUUGAGUCCAAAACUCGGGGAACAUCAUAAUAUUGUGGGAGUUGUCAUUUGGUGGCUUUUGGGUAAAAUUCAAUCCCUACAGCUAUACAAUGCACCAACCACUCCAUUUCAGAAUGACCUUCAUACGAACUUGAAUUGUCCGAUUUCAUUGACCAAUUGAUAUCGGAUUGAGUCCAAAACCUGGGGAACAUCAUAAUAUUGUGGGAGGAGUCAUUUGGUGGGUUUUGAGUGAAAUCCAAUCUCUAGAACUGUGCAAUACACCAACCACUCCAUUUCCGAACGAACUUCGUACGAACCUGAAUUGUCCGAUUUCAAGGACCAAUCGAUAUCCGAUUGAGUCCAAAACUCGGGGAACAUCAUAAUAUUGUGGGAGGAGUCAUUUGGUGGGUUUUGAGUGAAAUCCAAUCCCUAGAACUAUACAAUACACCGACCACUCCAUUUCAGAACGAACAUCGUACGAACUUGAAUUGCCCGAUUUCAUUGACCAAUCGAUAUCGGAUUGAGUCCAAAACUUGGGGAAAAACAUAAUAUUGUGGGAGGAGUCAAUUGGUUGGUUUUGAGUGAAAUACAAUCAAUAGAACUAUACAAUACACCAACCACACCAUUUCAGAACGAACUUCGUACGAACCUGAAUUGUCCGAUUUCGAGGACCAAUCGAUAUCGGAUUGAGUCCAAAACUUAGGUGAUAACUCAUAUAUUUAUACAUUUAUACCAUCCAUUUCUAGUAUAUUUGUGAUGUUUUUGAGUUAACUUGUUGCGUUUUAUCCUAUUUUGUGUUAGUAUGCAGUUGCAUAUACUUUAGGAUCAAGUUGAAGGCAAAAGAAAUGAAAACAUGCCAUUUUUGGAGCUGACCCUUAUUCAAACGUGGAAACAAGUUUCGUGACCUGUUUUGAAGUCCAAAUAAAGAAUGCAAGGCGAACCUGGCUUGUUUGAAGACUAAGAGCGGAAUGGGAAAGCAAUGGGGAUUUCUAGCCUAAUUUGGAGGUGCCAAAUAAGGCAAAAACGUGCAAAAUAAAGGCUGAUUCAUUAGGAUAUCUUUGGAACAUCUUGCAGCCUUGUUUACCCCAUAAAAACUUGCCUUUUAGCCACUUCUAAAACCCCUAUUUAUUUUGGACGAAUUUCACAACCCUAGAUCUGACUCCUUGGUUAUUCUCUCCUUUCAUGCACACUAAAACCCUAGCCGUCCAUAUAUUUCCACCAUCAGGACUCAGCGCAAGAGGUGGUUCUUGGAGAAGUUCAACAUCAGAAUUGGUUCAAGGGUUUCCUCUCAUGAAUUUAUUUUCACUCAUGUUGUUUAUUUUUGUUUUAAUCUCUUUGAACAUGAUGUGUAACUAAAUUCAUAGCUAGGGAUUUCGAUGUAGCCUUGCAACAUUGAUCCAUGUUUCUAAGUUAAAGUAUUCAGUUCAUCAAUUUGUUUCUUGUUUCAUUCACUGAAUCUAUUGUUCAAUUUGUUUGUCAAUUUUAAUGUUUGAUCACCAUUAGAGUCGCCUACAGAUUAUCUAGACAAGGUUAUAGUAAACAUCAUGCUUAAUCUUGUUAGACAUGUGAAUGAAUGAAGAGAAUGCUAUGCAAACAUCAUGCUGUGUAUUUUCUUUGGUUCUUUAACAUUUUCUUGCAUGCUAAUGACUCUUAACUUGGAACCAAAGUUGAACAUCCCAACUAGGUUGCAGAUUAGGAGAAUUUGAUCAAAACCACACAUCAUAUGGCUGAUCAUAUAUAUGUAAAACGAACUCUGGAAACAGGAUGGUAGUUGAGUACGGUUUAAUUUUAUAAACAUGGAAUUAGUUUUGCAAUGGUGAAUUCGAAAUCCCUGGUCUCUUCCCUAUUCUUUCUACAUCAAUAUAUUAUUCACUACUACAUUCUUUUUGCAUUGGAAGUUAUUUUUCAUUUACAACACAAAAACUACUUUCAAAUUGUCACUUUCAUUUUUAGUUACGGUUCUUUCAAAACUAGUAAUUUAUAGAGGUCCAAUCGGUCCCUGUGGUUCGACACCCUUACUUGUACCAUUAUACUAACCAUAUAUUGGCACCUGGAAGGAACACAACAUUAGGGAACAUUAUAAUAUUAUGGGAGGAGUCAUUUGGGGGAUUUUGAGUGAAAUCCAAUCUUUAGAACUGUGCAAUAGACCAACCAUUCCAUUUCAGAACACAGUUCGCACGAACCGGAAUUGGCCAAUUUCAUGGACCAACGAAUAUCGGAUUGAGUGCAAAACUUGGGGAACAUCGUAAUAUUGUGGGAGGAGUCAUUUGGUGGGUUUUGAGUGAAAUCCAAAAUCUAGAACUAUACAAUACACCAACCACCCCAUUUCAGAACGAACUUCGUACGAACCUGAAUUGUCCGAUUUCAAGGACCAAUCGUUAUCGGAUUGAGUCCAAAACUUGGGGAACAUCAUAAUAUUGUGGGAGUUGUCAUUUGGUGGGUUUUGAGUGAAAUCCAAUCUCUAGAGCUAUACAAUACACCAACCACUCCAUUUCAGAUCGAAAUUCGUAUGAACUUGAAUUCUCUGAUUUCACGGACCAAUCGAUAUCAAAUUGAGUCCAAAACUUGGGGAACCUCAUGAUAUUGUGGGAGGAGUCAUUUGGUGGCUUUUGGGUGAAAUCCAAUCCCUACAACUAUACAAUACACCAACCAUUCCAUUUCAGAAUGACCUUCAUACGACGUUGAAUUGUCCGAUUACAUUGACCAAUCGAUAUCGGAUUGAGUCCAAAACCUGGGGAAUAUCAUAAUAUUGUGGGAGGAGUCAUUUGGUGGGUUUUGAGUGAAAUCCAAUCUCUAGAACUAUACAAUACACCAACCACUCCAUUUCCGAACGAACUUCGUACGAACCUGAAUUGUCCGAUUUAAAGCACCAAUCGAUAUCGGAUUGAGUCCAAAACUUGGGGGACAACAUAAUAUUGUGGGAGGAGUCAUUUGGUGGGUUUUGAGUGAAAUCCAAUCCCUACAACUAUACAAUACACCAACCACUCCAUUUCGGAACGACCUUCGUACAAACUUGAAUUGUCCGAUUUCAUUGACCAAUCGAUAUCGGAUUGAGUCCAAAACUCGGGGAACAUCAUAAUAUUGUGGGAGUUGUCAUUUGGUGCCUUUUGGGUAAAAUCCAAUCUCCAGAACUAUACAAUACACCAACCAACCCAUUUCCAGAACGAACUUCAUACGAACUUGAAUUGUCCGAUAUCAAGGACCAAUCGAUAUCGGAUUGAGUCCAAAACUUGGGGAACAUCAUAAUAUUGUGGGAGGAGUCAUUUGGUGGGUUUUGAGUGAAAUCCAAUCUCUCGAACUAUACAAUACACCAACUACCGCAUUUCCGAACGAACUUCGUACGAAACUGAAUUGUCCGAUUUCAAGCUCCAAUCGAUAUCGGAUUGAGUCCAAAACUUGGGGAACAUCAUAAUAUUGUGGGAGGAGUCAUCUGGUGGGUUUUGAGUGAAAUCCAAUCCCUAGAACUAUACAAUACACCAACCACUCCAUUUUAGAACGAACUUCGUACGAACCUGAAUUGUCCGAUUACAAGGGCCAAUCGAUAUCGGAUUGAGGCCAAAACUUCGGAAACAACAUAAUAUUGUGGGAGGAGUCAUUUGGUGGAUUUUGAGUGAAAUCCAAUCUCUAGAACUAUACAAUACACCAACCACCCCAUGUCACAUGCCGGGAUCAACUCCACCGUAGCACGAUAUUUUCCGCUUUGGGCCCCCCCUCUGCCCGUACGAUUUUGUUUCUGGGAGCUCACGAGUAACUUCCCAGUGGGUCACCCAUCCUGGGAUUGCUCUGGCACUCAACUCGCUUAACUUCGGAGUUCCUACGACUCCGAAGCCAGUGAGCUCCCAAAAGGCCUCGUGCUAGAUGGAUGUGGGUGUGCACAUAUAAGGCACAUCACCCCCUCUCCGUUUGGUUGAUGUGGGAUCUUACAAUCCACCCCCCUUAAGGGCCCGACGUCCUCGUCGGCACACUCGCAGCACACGGCAGAGUGGCUCUGAUACCAAAUUGUCACACCCGGGAUCGGCUCCCCCGUAGCACAAUAUUGUCCGCUUUGGGCCCCCCUCACUGCCCUCACGGUUUUGUUUCUGGGAACUCUUGAGUAACUUCCCAGUGGGUCACCCAUCUUGGGAUUGCUCUAGCCCCCAACUCGCUUAACUUCGGAGUUCCUACGACUCCGAAGCCAGUGAGCUCCCAAAAAGCCUCGUGCUAGAUGGAUGCGAGUGUGCACAUAUAAGGCACAUCACCCCCUCUCCGUUGGUUGAUGUGGGAUCUUACAAUCCACCCCCCUUAAGGGCCCGACGUCCUCGUCGGCACACUCUCACCACACGGCAGAGUGGCUCUGAUACCAAAUUGUCACACCCCUGGAUCGGCUCCGCCGUAGCACGAUAUUGUCCGCUUUGGGCCCCCCUCACUGCCCUCACGGUUUUGUUUCUGGGAACUCACGAGCAACUUCCCAGUGGGUCACCCAUCCUGGGAUUGGUCUAGCCCCCAACUCGCUUAACUUCGGAGUUCCUACGACUCCGAAGCCAAUGAGCUCCCAAAAGGCCUCGUGCUAGAUGGAUGCACAUAUAAGGCACAUCACCCCUUCUCCGUUGGUUGAUGUGAGAUCUUCCAAUCCACCCCCUUAAGGACCCGACAUCCUCGUCGGCACACUCGCACCACACGGCAGAGUGGCUCUGAUACCAAAUUGUCACAUCCAGGGAUCGGCUCCGCCGUAGCACGAUAUUGUCCGCUUUGGGCCCCCCUCUCUGCCCUUACGGUUUUGUUUCUAGGAACUCACGAGCAACUUCCCAGUGGGUCACUCAUCCUGGGAUUGCUCUAGCCCCUAACUCGCUUAACUUCGGAGUUCCUACGACUCCGAAGCCGGUGAGCUCCCAAAAGGCCUCGUGCUAGAUGGAUGCGGGUGUGCACAUAUAAGGCACAUCACCCCCUCUCCGUUGGUUGAUGUGGGAUCUUACACCCCAUUUAUGAACGAACUUCGUACGAACCUGAAUUUUCCGAUUUCAAGGACCAAUCGAUAUUGGAUUGAGUCCAAAACUUGGGUAACAUCAUAAUAUUAUGGGAGGAGUCAUUUGGUGGGCUUUGAGUGAAAUCCAAUCCCUAGAACUUACAAUACACCAACCACUCCAUUUCAUGACGAACUUCGUAUGAACAUGGAUUGUCCGAUUUCAUGGACCAGUCGAUAUCGGAUUGAGUCCAAAACUUGGGAAACGUUGUAAUAUUGAGGGAGGAGUGAUUUGUUGCAUUUUGAGUGAAAUCCAAUCCCCAGAACUAUACAAUACACCAACCACUCCAUUUAAGAACGAACUUCGUACGAACCUGAAUUGUCAGAUUUCGAGGACCAAUCGAUAUCGUAUUGAGUCCAAAACUUGGGGAACAUGAUAGUAUUGUGGGAGGAGUCAUUUGGUGGGUUUUGAGUGAAAUCCAAUCCCUAGAACUAUACAAUACAUUAGCCAUUCCAUUUCAAAACGAACUUCGUACAAACCUGAAUUGUCAAAUUUCGUGGACCAAUCGAUAUCGGAUUGAGUCCAAAACUUGGGGAACAUCAUAAUAUUGUGGGAGGAGUCAUUUGGUGGCUUUUGAGUGAAAUCCAAUCUCUAGAACUAUACAAUACACCAACUACCCCAUUUCAGAACGAACUUCGUUGGAACCUGAAUAGUCCGAUUUCAAGGACCAGUCGAUAUCGGAUUGAGUCCAAAACUUGGGGAACAUCAUAAUAUUGUGGGAGGAGUCAUUUGGUGGCUUUUGAGUGAAAUCCAAUCUUUAGAACUAUACAAUACACCAACCACCCCAUUUCAGAACGAACUUCGUACGAACCUGAAUUGUCCAAUUUCAAGGACCAACAGAUAUCGGAUUGAGUCCGAAACUUGGGGAACAUCAUAAUAUUGGGGAGUUGUCAUUUGGUGGGUUUUGAGUGAAAUCCAAUCCCUAGAACUAUACAAUACACCAAAAACUUCAUUUCAGAAAAAACUUGUUGAGCCUAUUGUUAACAACUAAAAUGAGUUAUUAAAAACAGCAACUUUAAUUCUCGCAAGUGCACGAACCGUUUAUAGUAUAGCUUAUGUAAAUACGAGGUCGAUCCCACGGAGAAUGGUAACUUGGUUCCAAGUUAAAUUACUUAGAAUGUUAGAAAAAUAUAGAACAAAGAAACUGACUAACUAGCUAAAGGCAUGGUCGAAUUCAACAAUGCCUCUUGCUAAUUACUCAAGGUCUAGGACAGAAUCCUAGCACCACACACGCACUCGAAAUGGGGGGUUUUUUUGUUGAAAUGAAAACAAGAAAGUGAAAUGAAAGUGCUCGAAAGUGAACACUGGCAGCAAUCAACAAGUUGUGAAACAAUGAUUGAGAGGUGUUAGAGCCUUGGAAUCCACCACUAGUUUUCCUAUCCAAGUUAUGAAUGCAUAGAAAUUGACUCAAGCUUCAUUAGCAAUAGAUUAUCGCAUACAAGCCUAUGGUAUCUAGGUGCAGGAUGCAUGAUUCUCCUAAGGCAUGUGAUUAUGCAUGGUAUCUACACAACACGUGAUCUCUAAUAUGCAACCUAAGCAUGGUAUCUACUUAGAAUAAAGCAUACAAGAGUCAUUAAGCUCCUUGAGAAUAUGAUAAUCACACAAGUCCUAGAACAUGGUAUCUGUCCUAGUCAACCUAUGGUUAUUAACCCCUUGAAUGAUUCUUAGGCCAUUCAUGUGUUGCUUGUGAAAGGAGAGUAGAAUUGGUGAAUCUAAACCCCUUCCCAACCUGUGCUAGAUGCAUAAAAUCCUAGUUAGCUACUCCAAGAGAACAUACAUCAAGCACAUAAUAAACUAGAGAUUAACAACUUAAUAAUAAAAGCAAGGAAAUCAAUUAACUAUAAAAUCAUCCAUAACAUUGAAUAUUCAUGACUAGGGCUUCACCCUAAGCCCUAACUAAAUGGAUUAGUUAGACAUAACUAUGAAUACAGAAAAUAAGAAAUACAUAGAUAGGAUAAAGAGACGAGAAGAACUAGAUGAUGGGAGCAAGGAAGUUCCCAGGACAGCUCCAAGCUCCCUUCUCUCUUUGUGGUGAAUCUGAAUGUGUAUAUGAAAGUAAUGGAUGAAAUGAAUGUGUGUGUCUGCCCUCUCUCCCCUUGAAAGAGUGUGCAACUCUCUAUUUAUAGAGUGCAAUUUCGUGCUCCCCUUUGGCUGGUGAAGCACACCUCUCUUAGCUGCUGCCAACUGCUCUAGCUGCCCAUACAUGCCUGUUGCUCCAGCUGCCCAUACUUGCCUGUUGCUCCAGCUGCCCAUACUUGCCUGUUGGACUUUUCUUGGUUUUUGAGUUCCCAUACUGAUUUGUCUCCCAUGUGUGGCUGCUCUAAUGUGUAGCACAUGGCUCUAGGGAUGUAGCCACAUUAAAUAUGAUGGCAGCCAACAUGACAUUUCUGCGAACUUGGUUCAGUCUUUGACGUGUUGAGGGCUCCAGUUGUAUCCAAUUGGGCUGAACUUUGGAUAUGUUAUAAUAGACGCCCAUUGGAACAACGUCUAUGAAGGAUGUCUCCUCAUCUGACCUGUGUAAGUUACUGAAAUGAGGCCUGCAAGAUGACCUACGAAACUGGACUGACAAGGAGUGUGGCACAAAUUGGUUUUGUCUUUAAGCUCAUAUUCCACUUGUGCCACUCAGCCCUUAACAUGCAUGAAUUGUAUCAAAUGUCAUCCCCUUGCUAUAUUAACCUACAAAGCACACAAACAUAGGUAAGAGACUCAAAAUAAAGAGAAGCUAACAAAAUUACUAAGGAAAGAAGGCAUGCAAAUGUGUGAAAUUAUGAACUUAUCAAAUACCCCAAAACUUAGAUUUUGCUAGUCCUCGAGCAAAACAAAAUAAAACUACAACUUAGGAAACAGGAAAUAAGCAACUAGCCUUCCAAACAAUAUCCUCAAAGAAUCAUCAGUGUAAAUGGUUCCAAAGAAACACAACAAUCACAAUCUAAGUUCCACACAUGAUUCACGAGAAAGCAAAGCUAGCAUUGACACCCUUAAGUGUAGUGUGUGAAUGCCAAAUCCGAACAACACCUGCAUCUCAAAUAAGUACAUGUGCACACACUUAGAGCAAAAUCAAGAAUUCCGAACCCCAUAAGCUCAUUAUCCAAUCUGCUCUCCACAGUAAUACCAUGCAACACCAAGGAUCAAAAGGACUUUACAAGGGUAGUAAUGAGGUUUAGGGUAGUGGUUGAAUGAAAGAAGGGAUAUGAGAUAUACAAUAUUUUGAGCACACUUAAAGCACAGGUAAGAGCAUAAGAGAGUACUGAACUUUGUAACAAGCAAGGAACACAUACAUGAGCAGAUUUUCAACAUAAUUUCAGCACCUUGAAAUGUGUUUAUUUGGCCUAAUUUUGUGGCUCUUUACCCUAGAUCACAAUGAUGUUCUCCUUAUAACACCCUAGGGCCGUGACUACAUUGGUCACACUUCAUUACCUCUUUUGAUUAGUUACCAAUACCCCCAAACUUAUUUCUUUUCAACACUUGGGUUACGGCACCAAUUAUUCACUUUUGCUCUAUAAACCUUGCAUUCUUUAUAACUCUCUUUUGAAGAUAACUUUAAUUGCUCAUACAAUAAGUAAGGAUAAGAAAACAGAGGCUCAUUAUGGUAGGAUUCAUUUACACAAAGAAAGGCUUAACGUAGGCUCAAAUGGGAUGACUAGGGAUGAAUACAUGUAGAGGGAUGGUUAGAAAGGCUCAAACGGUUCAAACAUGGCCUAAAUCACUUCCUAAGCAUUGUAUGGCAACAAAAUGUCUCAAGAAAUAUUCAAAUAAGUUCUAGAGUACGAAACCAAGAUCAUGAGAUAACUAGAAUUGCAUAACGUCUCUAAGUAGCAAGAUGUUGGACUAACUUGGCAAAGUGCUCAAUAAGUGCAAGGAUGGCAUGCAGGACAAAGUUAACUUAGAAUCACACGCAGACCUUAAACAAUGACUAUCAAUUUCUGAAAAACCAUAAUAGUAUUAAAUCUAAGUCUUUAUCAUAGGUGUUUGGAAGGAUAACGAAACAACACACAAAAUCCUGCGUUUUUAGACAGUAGACACACUCAAAAAUUUUAAAAUUUGACAAUUUGAAACAGCAUAACUAAAUCCUUCCCCCCAAACUUAAAUGAAACAUUGUCCUCAAUGUUUAGAGUGUAAGAAAAAGCAAUGCCUCAUUAAUGAAAGGAAAGAAGACAAGGGAAAGACAUAACCAAAGGUUAGAUUUCAGAAAAACUCCCCUUUGAAGCGAUUAGGAUGCAAGCAAGCUUCCUCGCAUAUUCUAUCUUCUCCUCAUCACCUUGGGUUGCCUCCCAAGAAGCGCUAAGUUUCACGUCGUCAGCCGGACGUCCAAACUCUGGUGAGCUUUAAGAGAGUGGUGGAGGCUCCUUGAGUGCUUGAGACUCAAUAUUGGCAUCAAAGUUGGCAUCGAAGUAAGGUUUCAACCGAUGUCCAUUCACCUUGAAGGUGCUGCCAUCCUUAAUGUUUUGAAUCUCCACUGCGCCAUGAUUAAACACAUUAGUAAUAACAAAAGGGCCAAUCCACCGAGAACAAAGCUUACCUGGGAAGAGCUUAAGGCGUGAAUUGAAUAAGAGAACCUUCUGCCCUUUCUCAAACGUCUUCCUAAGAAUUUUCUUGUCGUGAUAUUGCUUUGUUUUCUCCUUGUAAAGCUUCGCAUUCUUAUACGCUUCAUGUCUCAACUCCUCCAGCUCAUUGAGUUGAAGCCUCCUCUUCUCACCAGCGGCUUUCAUAUCAAAAUUGAAGGCCUUGAUUGCCCAAUAAGCCCUGUGCUCAAGCUCCACUGGUAAGUGACAAGGUUUACCGAAAAUAAGUCUAUACGGAGACAUACCUAUAGGGGUCUUAUAAGCAGUCCUAUAAGCCCACAAUGCAUCAUCCAAACGCAUGGACCAAUCCUUCCUUGUGGUGUUCACUGUCUUUUCAAGUAUGUACUUAAUCUCCCUAUUGCUUAUAUCAACCUGCCCACUAGUUUGAGGAUGAUAGGGUGUUGCCACCUUAUGCGUGAUUCCAUAUCUCUUCAAGAGUGCUGCAAAAGCUUGGUUAACAAAGUGGGAGCCACCAUCACUAAUGAUUGCUCUAGGUGUGCCAAACCUUGUAAAAAUAUUUCCUUUGAGAAAACCGAUCACAACUUUAGCAUCAUUAGUUCUAGUGGCAAUGGCUUCCACCCAUUUAGAAACAUAAUCGACAGAAACUAAUAUAUAUUCAAAUCCAUAAGAGGUAGGAAAAGGGCCCAUGAAAUCAAUUCCCCAAACAUCAAAUAUAUCAAUGAUUAAGAUAUUGGUGAGAGGCAUCUGGUUUCUAGCAUGUAAAUUACCCAUCCGUUGGCAUCUAUCACAUGAAGCACAAAAAACAUAAGCAUCCUUAAAAAGGGUAGGCCAAAAGAAACCUGAUUGUAGCACCUUGCUGGCAGUCUUCUUUGCUCCAAAAUGGCCUCCGCAUGCGUGGGAGUGACAAAACUCCAGAAUGCUCUUAAAAUCACCUUCAGGCACACACCUUCGAAUUACUUGGUCUGGACAAUGCUUGAAUAGAUAGGGAUCAUCCCAAAAGUAGUAUCUUGCUUGCUUCCUAAGCUUGUCACGUUGGAACGUAGAUAACCCUGUAGGGAGUUCGUUAGUGCACAAAUAGUUAACAAUAUCAGCAAACCAAGGCAAUGGAUUGAGAGAAUUCAAAGCACAAAUGGAGAAGAGUUGCUCAUCAGGGAAGCUUUCACGCAAUGGCAAUGAAUCCUCCUCUUCGUUAGAUACAUGCACCAAUCUACUCAAGUGAUCAGCCACGACAUUCUCACUUCCUUUCUUAUCUUUUAUCUCCAAGUCAAACUCUUGCAACAAGAGAAUCCAUCUAAUGAGUCGCGGUUUGGCAUCCUUCUUAGCUAACAAGUAUUUCAAUGCUGCAUGAUCAGUGUAAACAAUAACCUUGUUAGUAAUCAAAUAUGAUCUAAACUUCUCUAAAGCAAAUAUGACGGCUAACAACUCCUUCUCUGUGGUGGAAUAGUUGAGUUGGGCAUCGUUGAGGGUUCUACUAGCAUAGUAGAUGGCAUGUGGCUUCUUAUCAACUCGCUGUCCCAAAACAGCUCCAACAACAUAAUCUGAGGCAUCACACAUCAAUUCAAAGGGCAAGCUCCAAUCCGGUGGUAUAAUGACUGGGGCAGUUGUGAGCAUCUUCUUCAAAGCAUUGAAAGCAUUCUCACAGUCUUGAUCAAACACAAAAUCCAUGUCCUUGGCAAGGAGAUUGCACAUAGGCCUUGCAAUCUUAGAAAAAUCCUUAAUGAAACGCCUAUAGAAACCUGCAUGGCCAAGGAAAGAACGUACUUCUUUGACAGAAGUAGGUGAGGGCAUAGAGGCAAUCAAAUCAAUCUUAGCUUUAUCUACCUCAAUUCCUUUACUAGAGAUGACAUGACCAAGAACUAUGCCUUGGUUAACAAUAAAAUGACAUUUUUCCCAAUUAAGCACAAGGUUAGUAUGUUCACAUCUAGCCAACACCUUGGAUAAGUUAUGCAAGCAUUGAUCAAAAGAAUCACCAAAGACAGAGAAGUCAUCCAUGAAUACCUCAAUGAACCUUUCUACCAUGUCGGAGAAAAUGCUCAUCAUGCACCUUUGAAAAGUGGCUGGGGCGUUACAGAGACCAAAAGGCAUCCUCCUAUAGGCGAAAGUGCCAAAGGGACAUGUGAACGUGGUCGAUCCGCAGGCCGUGCAGCUAUGGCGAUUUGGUUGUAGCCUGAAUAUCCAUCAAGGAAGCAAUAGUGGCUAUGCCCAGCUAAUCUCUCAAGCAUUUGAUCAAUGAAUGGAAGAGGAAAGUGAUCUUUGCUUGUUGCUGUGUUGAGCUUCCUAUAAUCAAUGCAAACUCUCCAGCCCGUGGUCAUCCGUGUAGGUACAAGCUCGUUUGCUUCAUUCUUCACCACUGUGAUACCUGACUUCUUGGGGACAACUUGCACUGGGCUCACCCAUUGACUGUCAGAAAUAGGGUAAAUAAUACCAACAUUUAAAAGCUUCAUUACCUCUUUUCUUACCACCUCCUUCAUGUUUGGAUUGAGACGUCUUUGGGCAUCCCUCUUAGGCAUUGCAUUGUCUUCCAAUAAUAUCUUGUGCAUGCACAGUGUUGGGCUUAUGCCUUUGAUAUUUGCAAUGCUCCACCCAAUCGCAGUUUUGUGCUCUUUUAGAACUCUCAAAAGCUUCUUUUCAUCAUUUGGUCCGAGAUGUGAGGCAAUGAUAACAGGUAGAGUCUCAUUUUCACCUAAAUAAGCAUAUUUAAGGUGUUUUGGCAAUUGCUUUAAUUCCAACUCUGGUGCCUGCACAAUAGAAGGUAAAACCUUAUUAGUAGGUGGGGGUAAUGAUUCAAAUUGGUUUGCAUACCUCUUUCCAAUUUCUAUGUAGCUAUCCAUGCUGCAAACAAGCUCAAGAAGUAAAAAGAUCACAGCCUCAAAGCUGUCCACUUCUUCUUUCCUUAUGCUUUGUGUGAUGCAUGCUUCAAUGGGCUCCAAAUAACUCAUUGGCAGUGCUUCUUUCACCAUAGUAUCAAUUGCAUCAAGAUGGAAAACUUCAUGCUCAUCACUUGGAAACUUGGAGGCUUCAAACACUUUGAAUGCUAUUGUCUCAUCAAACACAUUCAUGGUCAAUGUACCCUUCUUCACAUCAAUAAUAGCACCGGCAGUUGCCAUGAAUGGCCGACCUAGAAUGAGUGGUAACUGAUUGUCAUGAAUUGGUGCUUCUUCCAUCUCCAACACCAAGAAAUCUGCUGGCAAAAUUAGCUCUUCCACUUUCACCAAAACAUCUUCUAGAAUGCCCUUAGGGUACCUAAUAGUUCUAUCUGCCAAUUGAAUGCUCACAGAUGUGGCUUGCAACUCACCAAGGUUAAGUUUCUCAUAAACAUGAUAUGGCAUAAGAUUUAUAGAAGCACCAAGAUCAAGCAAAGCUUUUUGAAACUUAAAAUCACCAACUAUGCAAGGUAUAGAAAACGAACCUGGAUCCUUUAGCUUUGGAGGCAGGUUUCUUUGUAACACUGCACUUACCUCUUCACUCAAUGCAACUUGUUCAUGCUCUUUGAAUCUCCUCUUGUUAGUGCAUAGAUCCUUCAAAAAAUUUGCAUACUUUGGAAUCUGAGUAAUGGCAUUGAGCAAUGGGAUGUUGAUUUGCACCUUCUUGAAUGUUUCCAUUAUCUCAUCCAAGCCUUGAUCUUUCUUUGACUUUGAUAACCUGCUGGGAAAGGGUGCAAUAGGCCUAAAAGCAUUAGUUGAAAUUGGAACUUGAUUAGCAUUAGAUGAUACCUUAGGGCCUGUGCUCUUUCCAGGAGCAUUGAUGGACUGAUUGUUGGAAGCUGUGGGCUGCCCAUGUGGUGGCUGAAUGAUCUCCACGUUUUCUCCAUCUUCUUGUUCUUCAUUGGCAUCUCCAACCUUAUUAUCAACUUGUUUACCACUUCUCAAGAUGUGUACUGCUUUAGCAUGCUCUUGAUGCCUUGGAUUCACCUCCGUUUGGCUUGGGAAAGUUCCGGAUGCUCUAUUGCUCAUGGAGGAUGCAAUCUGCCCAACUUGCACUUCUAGUUUGUUCACUGCAUUUUGAAGAUUCUGAUUGGUUUGCAUCUGUUGCCCCAUGAACUUCUUGAACAUGUCUUGCAAUUCUCCCAUUUGAUCACCCCUUUGCUCUUGCACUUGUUGCGGAGCUUGUUGGAAUUGCCUUUGUUGUGUUUGGAAUCCUGGGGGAGGUCCUUGAGAUUGUUGCACAUUUGAAUUGUUGCUCCACCUGAAAUUAGGAUGAUUUCUCCACCCCGGAUUGUAUGUGUUUGAGUAAGGAUCAUUAUUAGGAUUCCUUGCUUGAAGGGAAUUUGCUUGUUCUAGCAUGUGCUCCGCAAAAGAUUGGUCUACAAACUUCCACUUUGUUUCCUAGAGGGCCAGUCACUGCCUGUUGAAGCAAAGAACACAUAACAUCAAGUUUUGCAGCAAUUUCAUUAUUAGUACUUACCUCAGAGACCACAGCUUUCAUAGGAGCUCCUCUUCCUUUAUUGUGGCUCCAUUGUUGAGAGUUAGCACUCAAGGAUUCAAAGAGAGUAAAAGCCUCAUCUGCUGUUUUGUUCAUCAGUCCUUCUCCACUUGUUGAAUCUACCAUCAUCCUUUCGGAAUCAAGUAAACCUUCAUAGAAAGAUUGCAUUUGCAUCCAACUCUCUAUGUUGUGGUGUGGGCAAGAACUUAUCAUCUCCUUGUACCUCUCCCAACAUUCAUGAAAAGCUUCUCCUUCCUUUUGUGUGAAACCAAGAAUUUCCUUUCUAAUCUUGUUAGUCUUUUGAGCCGGAAAAAAUUUCUGCAAAAACUUAUUAGAAAGCUCUUCCCAAGUAUGAAUUGAAGCAUUAGGAAAAGAGUAUAACCAAGACUUAGCUUUAUCUUUUAAACUGAAUGGGAAUAGCCUCAUCUUAAUCUGCUCAUCAUCAAGGUUUUGAAUUUUGAUCGUAGCACAUAUUUCAAAGAAUUGCUUAAUAUGCAUGUAAGGAUCCUCAGUGGUAUUACCAUAAUAAGUUGGAAGAAGAUGAAUCAUACCACUUUUAAGCUCAAACCUGUCAACUGUGAGUUGAGGAUAGACGAUGCAUAAAGGUUGAUCGGUGACUUUGGGAAUGGAAAACUCACGCAGGGAUUUUCUUGGUUGGACAACAAGCACACCACCUCCUUCAUCAUUGUUGUUGUUCGAAAUCUCUACCAUGUUGCUUGAACCUUCAGAUUCGUAACUUUUAGAUUCAACGCUUGAAGAACUAUAGUUCUUCCUCAAACCAGCAUGCACAGCAGCGGUUCUUGGUGAAAGUGGCUCAGGUGAACUUUGCUCCUGGUCAGAUUCGGACAUGCACACACCAAGGAAGUCAAUUCAGUGCCUUCAAUGGAGAUAACAACAAAAUACAAAACUGAAUACUAAAAGAAAAACCAACGAAAAGAAACAAAUGAAAUAAACAAAAACAAAACAAUCAAAGUAAUCUAACUAUAGCACCAUCAUUACCGGUUCCCCGGCAACGGCGCCAAAAACUUGUUGAGCCUAUUGUUAACAACUAAAAUGAGUUAUUAAAAACAGCAACUUUAAUUCUCGCAAGUGCACGAACCGUUUAUAGUAUAGCUUAUGUAAAUACGAGGUCGAUCCCACGGAGAGUGGUAACUUGGUUCCAAGUUAAAUUACUUAGAAUGUUAGAAAAAUAUAGAACAAAGAAACUGACUAACUAGCUAAAGGCAUGGUCGAAUUCAACAAUGCCUCUUGCUAAUUACUCAAGGUCUAGGACAGAAUCCUAGCACCACACACGCACUCGAAAUGGGGGGUUUUGUUGUUGAAAUGAAAACAAGGAAGUGAAAUGAAAGUGCUCGAAAGUGAACACUGGUAGCAAUCAACAAGUUGUGAAACAAUGAUUGAGAGGUGUUAGAGCCUUGGAAUCCACCACUAGUUUUCCUAUCCAAGUUAUGAAUGCAUAGAAAUUGACUCAAGCUUCAUUAGCAAUAGAUUAUCGCAUACAAGCCUAUGGUAUCUAGGUGCAGGAUGCAUGAUUCUCCUAAGGCAUGUGAUUAUGCAUGGUAUCUACACAACACGUGAUCUCUAAUAUGCAACCUAAGCAUGGUAUCUACUUAGAAUAAAGCAUACAAGAGUCAUUAAGCUCCUUGAGAAUAUGAUAAUCACACAAGUCCUAGAACAUGGUAUCUGUCCUAGUCAACCUAUGGUUAUUAACCCCUUGAAUGAUUCUUAGGCCAUUCAUGUGUUGCUUGUGAAAGGAGAGUAGAAUAGGUGAAUCUAAACCCCUUCCCAACCUAUGCUAGAUGCAUAAAAUCCUAGUUAGCUACUCCAAGAGAACAUACAUCAAGCACAUAAUAAACUAGAGAUUAACAACUUGAUAAUAAAAGCAAGGAAAUCAAUUAACUAUAAAAUCAUCCAUAACAUUGAAUAUUCAUGACUAGGGCUUCAUCCUAAGCCCUAACUAAAUGGAUUAGUUAGACAUAACUAUGAAUACAGAAAAUAAGAAAUACAUAGAUAGGAUAAAGAGACGAGAAGAACUAGAUGAUGGGAGCAAGGAAGUUCCCAGGACAGCUCCAAGCUCCCUUCUCUCUUUGUGGUGAAUCUGAAUGUGUGUAUGAAAGUAAUGGAUGAAAUGAAUGUGUGUGUCUGCCCUCUCUCCCCUUGAAUGAGUGUGCAACUCUCUAUUUAUAGAGUGCAAUUUCGUGCUCCCCUUUGGCUGGUGAAGCACACCUCUCUUAGCUGCUGCCAACUGCUCUAGCUGCCCAUACAUGCCUGUUGCUCCAGCUGCCCAUACUUGCCUGUUGGACUUUUCUUGGUUUUUGAGUUCCCAUACUGAUUUGUCUCCCAUGUGUGGCUGCUCUAAUGUGUAGCACAUGGCUCUAGGGAUGUAGCCACAUUAAAUAUGAUGGCAGCCAACACGAUAUUUCUGUGAACUUGGUUCAGUCUUUGACGUGUUGAGGGCUCCAGUUUUAUCCAAUUGGGCUGAAAUUUGGAUAUGUUAUAAUAGACACCCAUUGGAACAACGUCUAUGAAGGAUGUCUCCUCAUCCGACCUGUGUAAGUUACUGAAAUGAGGCCUGCAAGAUGACCUACGAAACUGGACUGACAAGGAGUGUGGCACAAAUUGGUUUUGUCUUUAAGCUCAUAUUCCUCUUGUGCCACUCAGCCCUUAACAUGCAUGAAUUGUAUCAAAUGUCAUCCCCUUGCUAUCUUAACCUACAAAGCACACAAACAUAGGUAAGAGACUCAAAAUAAAGAGAAGCUAACAAAAUUACUAAGGAAAGAAGGCAUGCAAAUGUGUGAAAUUAUGAACUUAUCAAAUACCCCCAAACUUAGAUUUUGCUAGUCCUCGAGCAAAACAAAAUAAAACUACAACUUAGGAAACAGGAAAUAAGCAACUAGCCUUCCAAACAAUAUCCUCAAAGAAUCAUCAGUGUAAAUGGUUCGAAAGAAACACAACAAUCACAAUCUAAGUUCCACACAUGAUUCACGAGAAAGCAAAGCUAGCAUUGACACCCUUAAGUGUAGUGUGUGAAUGCCAAAUCCGAACAACACCUGCAUCUCAAAUAAGUACAUGUGCACACACUUAGAGCAAAAUCAAGAAUGCCGAACCCCAUAAGCUCAUUAUUCAAUCUGCUCUCCAUAGUAAUACCAUGCAACACCAAGGAUCAAAAGGAGUUUACAAGGGUAGUAAUGAGGUUUAGGGUAGUGGUUGAAUGAAAGAAGGGAUAUGAGAUAUACAAUAUUUUGAGCACACUUAAAGCACAGGUAAGAGCAUAAGAGAGUACUGAACUUUGUAACAAGCAAGGAACACAUACAUGAGCAGAUUUUCAACAUAAUUUCAGCACCUUGAAAUGUGUUUAUUUGGCCUAAUUUUGUGGCUCUUACCCUAGAUCACAUUGAAAUGUGNNNNNNNNNNNNNNNNNNNNNNNNNNNNNNNNNNNNNNNNNNNNNNNNNNNNNNNNNNNNNNNNNNNNNNNNNNNNNNNNNNNNNNNNNNNNNNNNNNNNNNNNNNNNNNCUCCUCGCUCAUUGCGACAGUAGUGUAUUUCAACACUUGGGUUACGGCACCAAUUAUUCACUUUUGCUCAAUAAACCUUGCAUUCUUUAUAACUCUCUUUUGAAGAUAACUUUAAUUGCUCAUACAAUAAGUAAGGAUAAGAAAACAGAGGCUCAUUAUGGUAGGAUUCGUUUACACAAAGAAAGGCUUAACAUAGGCUCAAAUGGGAUGACUAGGGAUGAAUACAUGUAGAGGGAUGGUUAGAAAGGCUCAAACGGUUCAAACAUGGCCUAAAUCACUUCCUAAGCAUUGUAUGGCAACAAAAUGUCUCAAGAAAUAUUCAAAUAAGUUCUAGAGUACGAAACCAAGAUCAUGAGAUAAGUCCGAUUUCAAGGACCAAUCGAUAUCAGAACGAACUUCGUUGGAACCUGAAUAGUCCGAUUUCAAGGACCAAUCGAUAUCGGAUUGAGUCCAAAACUUGGGGAACAUCAUAAUAUUGUGGGAGGAGUCAUUUGGUGGCUUUUGAGUGAAAUCCAAACUUUAGAACUAUACAAUACACCAACCACCCCAUUUCAGAACGAACUUCGUACGAACCUGAAUUGUCCGAUUUCAAGGACCAAUCGAUAUCGGAUUGAGUCCAAAACUUGGGGAACAUCAUAAUAUUGUGGGAGUUGUCAUUUGGUGGGUUUUGAGUGAAAUCCAAUCCCUAGAACUAUACAAUACACCAAAAACUUCAUUUCAGAACGAACUUCGUACGAACUUGAAUUGUCUGAUUUCAUGGACCAUUCGAUAUCAGAUUGAGUCCAAAACUUGGGGGACAUCAUAGUAUUGUGGGAGGAGUCAUUUGGUGGCUUUUGGGUGAAAUCCAAUCCAGACAACUAUAAAAUACACCGACCACUCCAUUUCAGAACGACCUUCAUACGAACUUGAACUGUCAGAUUUCAUUGACUAAUCGAUAUCGGAUUGAGUCCAAAACUUGGGGAACACCAUAAUAUUAUGGGAGGAGUCAUUUGGUGGGUUUUGAGUGAAAUCCAAUCUCUAGAACUAUACAAUACACCGACCACCCCAUUUCAGAACAAACUUCGUACGAACCUGAAUUGUCCGAUUUCAAGGACCAAUCGAUAUCGGAUUGAGUCCAAAACUUGGGGAACAUCAUAAUAUUGUGGGAGGAGUCAUUUGGUGGGUUUUGAGUGAAAUCCAAUCCCUAGAACUAUACAAUACACCAACCACCCCAUUUCAAAACGAACUUCGUACGAAACUGAAUUGUCUGAUUUCAUUGACCAAUUGAUCACAGAUUGAGUCCAAAACUUGGGGAACAUCAUAAUAUUGUGGGAGGAGUCAUUUGGUAAGUUUUCAGUGCAAUACAAUCCCUAGAACUAUACAAUACACCAACCACUCCAUUUCAGAACGAACUUCGUACAAACCUGAAUUGUCAAAUUUCGUGGACCACUCGAUAUCCGAUUGAGUCCGAAACUUGGGGAACAUCAUAAUAUUGUGGGAGGAGUCAUUUGGUGGGUUUGAGUGAAAUCCAAUCUCUAGAACUANNNNNNNNNNNNNNNNNNNNNNNNNNNNNNNNNNNNNNNNNNNNNNNNNNNNNNNNNNNNNNNNNNNNNNNNNNNNNNNNNNNNNNNNNNNNNNNNNNNNUGGGGAACAUCAUAAUAUUGUGGGAGGAGUCAUUUGGUGGGUUUCGAGUGAAAUCCAAUCUCUAGAACUAUACAACACACCAACCACCCCAUUACAGAACGAACUUAGUAGGAACCUGAUUUGUCCGAUUUCAAGGACCAAUAGAUAUAGGAUUGACUCCAAAACUUGGGGAACAUCAUAAUAUUGUGGGAGGAGUCAUUUGGUGUGUUUUUAGUGAAAUCCAUUCUCUAGAACUAUACAAUACACCAACCACCCCAUUUCAGAAGGAACUUCGUACGAGCCUGAAUUGUCCGAUUUCAAGGACAAAUCGAUAUCGGAUUGAGUCCAAAACUUGGGGAACAUCAUAAUAUUGUGGGAGGAGUCAUUUGGUGGGUUUUGAGUGAAAUUCAAUCUCUAGAAUGAUACAAUACACCAACCACCCCAUUUCAGAAUGAACUUCGUACGAAUCUGAAUUGUCAGAUUUCAAGGUCCAAUCGAUAUCGGAUUGAGUCCAAAAAUUGGGGAACAUCAUAAUAUUGUGGGAGUUGUCAUUUGGCGGGUUUUGAAUGAAAUCCAAUCCCUAGAACUAUCCAAUACACCAACCCCUCCACUUCAGAAGGAACUUCAUACGAACUUGAAUUGUCAAAUUUCGUAGACCAAUCGAUAUCGGAUUGUGUCCAAAACUUGGGGAACAUCAUAAUAUUGUGGGAGCCGUCAUUUGGUGGGUUUUGAGUGAAAUCCAAUCUUUAGAACUAUACAAUACACCAACCACUCCAUUUCAUAACGAACUUCGUACUAACCUGCAUUCUCAAAUUUCGUGGACUGAUCGAUAUCGGAUUGAGUCCAAAACUUGGGGAACAUUAUAAUAUUGUGGGAGGAGUCACUUGGUGGGUUUUGAGUGAAAUCCAAUCUCUAGAACUAUACAAUACACCAACCACCCCAUUUCAGAAUGAACUUCGUAGGAACCUGAAUUGUCCGAUUUGAAGGACCAAUCGACAUCGGAUUGAGUCCAAAACUUGGGGAACAUCAUAAUAUUGUGGGAGGAGUCAUUUGGUAAGUUUUGAGUGAAAUACAAUCCCUAGAACCAUACAAUACACCACCCACUACAUUUCAGAACGAACUUCGUACGAACUUGAAUUGUCAAAUUUCGUGGACCGAUCGAUAUCGGAUUGAGUCCAAAACUUGGGGAGCAUAAUAAUCUUGUGGGAGGAGUCAUUUGGGGGGUUUUGAGUGAAAUCCAUUCUCUAGAACCAUACAAUACACCAACCACCCCAUUUCAGAACGAACUUCGUACGAACCUGAAUUGUCCGAUUUGAAGGACCAAUCGAUAUCGGAUUGAGUCCAAAACUUGGGGAACAACAUAAUAUUGUGGGAGGAGUCAUUUGGUUCGUUUUGAUUGAAAUCCAAUCUCUAGAACUAUACAAUACACCAACCACCCCAUUUCAGAACGAACUUCGUAGGAACCUGAAUUGUCCGAUUUCACGGACCAAUCGAUAUCGGAUUGAGUCCAAAACUUGGGGAACAUCAUAAUAUUGUUGGAGGAGUCAUUUGGUGGGUUUUGAGUGAAAUCCAAUCUCUAGAAUUAUACAAUACACCAACCACCCCAUUUCAGAACGAACUUCGUACGAACCUGAANNNNNNNNNNNNNNNNNNNNNNNNNNNNNNNNNNNNNNNNNNNNNNNNNNNNNNNNNNNNNNNNNNNNNNNNNNNNNNNNNNNNNNNNNNNNNNNNNNNNNNNNNNNNNNNNNNNNNNNNNNNNNNNNNNNNNNNNNNNNNNNNNNNNNNNNNNNNNNNNNNNNNNNNNNNNNNNUAAGGACCAAUCGAUAUCGGAUCAGUCCAAAACUUGGGGAACAUCAUAAUAUUGUGGAGGGAGCCAUUUGGUAAUUUUUGAGUGAAAUACAUUCCCAAGAACUAUACAAUUCACCACCCAGUCAAUUUCAGAACGAAAUUGAUGGGAACUUGAAUAUUCAAAUUUCAUGGACCAAUUAAUAUCGGAUUGAUUCCAAAACUUGGGGAAAAUCAUAAUUUGUUGGGGGUAGUCAUUUGGGGGGUUUUGAGUGAAAUCCAUUCUCUGGAACUAUCCAAUACACCAACCACCCCAUUUCAGAAGGAAUUUGGUACGAACCUGAAUGUCCGAUUUGAAGGACCAAUCGAUAUCGGAUUGAGUCAAAAACUUGGGGAACACCAUAAUAUUGUGGGAGGAGUCAUUUGGUUCGUUUUGAGUGAAAUCCAAUCUCUAGAAUUAUACAAUACACCAACCACCCCAUUUCAGAAUGAACUUCGUAGGAACCUGAAUUGUCCGAUUUCAAGGAGCAAUCGAUAUCGGAUUGAGUCCAAAACUUGGGGAACAUCAUAAUCUUGUGGGACGAGUCAUUUGGUGGGUUCUGAGUGAAAUCCAAUCUUUAGAACUAUACAAUACACCAACCACCCCAUUUCAGAAUGAACUUCGUCGGAACCUGAAUUGUCCGAUUUUAAGGACCAAUCGAUAUCGGAUUGAGUCCAAAACUUGGGGAACAUCAUAAUAUUGUGGAAGGAACCAUUUGGUAAGUUUUGAGUGAAAUACAAUCCCCAGAACUAUACAAUUCACCACCCACUCAAUUUCAGAACGAACUUCGUGCGAACUUGAAUUGUCAAAUUUCGUGGACCGAUCGAUAUCGGAUUGAGUCCAAAACUUGGGGAGCAUCAUAAUCUUGUGGGAUUAGUCAUUUGGGGGGUUUUGAGUGAAAUCCAUUCUCUAGAACUAUACAAUACACCAACCACCCCAUUUCAGAACGAACUUCGUACGAACCUGAAUGUCCGAUUUGAAGGACCAAUCGAUAUCGGAUUGAGUCCAAAACUUGGGGAACACCAUAAUAUUGUGGGAGGAGUCAUUUGGUUCAUUUUGAGUGAAAUCCAAUCUCUAGAAUAUACAAUACACCAACCACCCCAUUUCAGAAUGAACUUCGUACGAACCUGAAUUGUCCAAUUUCAAGGACCAAUCGAUAUCGGAUGAGUACAAAAGUUGGGGAACGUCAUAAUAUUGUGGGAGGAGUCAUUUGGUGGGUUUUGAGUGAAAUACAAUCUCUAGACCUAUACAAUACACCAACCACCCCAUUUCAGAACGAACUUCGUACGAACCUGAAUUGUCCGAUUUCAAGGACCAAUCGAUAUCGGAUUGAGUCCAAAACUUGGGGAACAUCAGAAUAUUGUGGGAGCAGUCAUUUGGUGCGUUUUGAGUGAAAUCCAAUCUUUAGAACUAUACAAUACACCAACCACCUCAUUUCAGAACGAACUUCGUACGAACCUGAAUUGUCCAAUUUCAAGGACCAAUCGAUAUCGGACUGAGUACAAAGGUUGGGGAACGUCAUAAUAUUGUGGGAGGAGUCAUUUGGUGGGUUUUGAGUGAAAUCCAAUCUCUAGACCUAUACAAUACACCAACCUCCUCAUUUUAGAACGCACUUCGUACGAAUCUGAAUUGUCCGAUUUGAAGGACCAAUUGAUAUCGGAUUGAGUCCAAAACUUGUGGAACAUCAUAAUCUUGUGGGAGGAGUCAUUUGGUGGUUUUGAGUGAAAUCCAAUCUCUAGAACUAUACAAUACACCAACCACCCCAUUUCAGAAUGAACUUCGUAGGAACCUGAAUUGUCCGAUUUCAAGGACCAAUCGAUAUCGGAUUGAGUCCAAAACUUGGGGAACAUCAUAAUAUUGUGGGAGGAGUCAUUUGGUAAGUUUUGAGUGAAAUACAAUCCCCAGAACCAUACAAUUCACUGCCCAUUCCAUUUAGAACGAAUUAGUAAAAACGUGAAUUGUCAAAUUUUGUGGACCGAUGGAUUCGGAUUGAGUCCAAAACUUGGGGAGCAUCAUAAUCUUGUGGGAGGAGUCAUUUGGGGGGUUUUGAGUGAAAUCCAUUCUCUAGAACUAUACAAUACACCAACCACCCCAUUUCAGAACGAACUUCGUACGAACCUGAAUUGUCCGAUUUGAAGGACCAAUCGAUAUCGGAUUGAGUGCAAAACUUGGGGAACACCAUAAUAUUGUGGGGGGAGUCAUUUGGUUCGUUUUGAGUGAAAUCCAAUCUCUAGAAUUAUACAAUACACCAACCACCCCAUUUAAAAAUGAACUUCGUAGGAACCUGAAUUGUCCGAUUUCAAGGACCAAUCGAUAUCGGACUGAGUCUAAAGGUUGGGGAACAUCAUAAUAUUGUGGGAGGAGUCAUUUGUUGGUUUUGAGUGAUAUCCAAUCUCUAAAACUAUACAAUACACCAACCACCCCACUUAUGAACGAACUUCGUACGAACCUGAAUUGUCCGAUUUCAAGUACCAAUCGAUAUCGGAUUGAGUCUGAAACUUGGGGAACAUCAUAAUAUUGUGGGAGGAAUCAUUUGGUGGGUUUUGACUGAAAUCCAAUCUCUAGACCUAUACAAUACACCAACCUCCUCAUUUCAGAACGAACUUCGUACGAACUUGAAUUGUCCGAUUUCAAGGACCAAUUGAUAUCGGAUUGAGUCCAAAACUUGGGGAACAUCAUAAUCUUGUGGGAGGAGAAAUUUGGUGGUUUUGAGUGAAAUCCAAUCUCUAGAACUAUACAAUACACCAACGACUCCAUUUCAGAACGAACUUCGUACGAACCUGAAUUGUCCGAUUUCAUUGACCAGUCGAUAACGGAUUGAGUCCAAAAGAUGGGGAACAUCAUAAUAUUGUGGGAGGAGUCAUUUGGUAUGUUUUGAGUGAAAUACAAUCCCUAGAACUAUACAAUACACCAACCACUCCAUUUCAGAAUGAACUUCGUACGAACCUGAAUUGUCAAAUUUCGUGGACCGAUCGAUAUCGGAUUGAGUCCAAAACUUGGGGAACAUCAUAAUAUUGUGGGAGGAGUCAUUUGGUGCGUUUUGAGUGAAAUCCAACCUCUAGAGCUAUACAAUGCACCAAUCACCCCAUUUCAGAACGAACUUCGUACGAACAUGAAUUGUCCGAUUUCAAGGACCAAUCGAUAUCGGAUUGAGUCCAAAAGUUGGGAAACAUCAUAAUAUUGUGGGAGGAGUCAUUUGGUGGGUUUUGGGUGAAAUCCAAUCUCUAGACCUAUACAAUACACCAACCUCCUCAUUUCAGAACGAACUUCGUACGAAC
RNAcentral lists this long non-coding RNA (27415 nucleotides) under Prunus persica (peach). RNAcentral's name for it is "long non-coding RNA (PPER_LNC001010)". The stretch from base 17381 to 17487 matches the Rfam family "Plant small nucleolar RNA R71". The record is from RNAcentral. Lineage: Eukaryota; Viridiplantae; Streptophyta; Magnoliopsida; Rosales; Rosaceae.